Molecule: long non-coding RNA, 761 nt
Organism: Corvus hawaiiensis (hawaiian crow)
Lineage: Eukaryota; Metazoa; Chordata; Aves; Passeriformes; Corvidae
Exons: 5
Source: RefSeq, a predicted model, not a curated record
CAUCCACCAACACUCUCCUGCCAUGGUAAAGAUCUAUAAAAGCUGAAGCAAAUGUUGAUUUACAGACUAAAAAUUCUCCCACCUAAAAGCCUGUGUCUUUCCGUUACAAAAAAAGGGAAUUGAGGAUGUUCUUACAUGGAUUUUUGAACUUCAGAGUCACUCCUGAUUUUUUUGUUUUUUCCCUUUCCUGGGAAUUUUUGCACACGUAGCAGUUUUUCAAAUGGAAGGUGGAGGGGGAACCUUGAUCAGAUGCUUCUUCGAAAGACUUUUCACAGCAAUUCAUCUGUCAAGUGUGGAAGACAGGCUAUAAUCUGAAGCCUGCCUGGCUGCAUAGCAAUUGUAUUAUCUGGUUGAAUUUCCUGGCCACACUGGAAUGAAGUAAUUUGCACCUGAGUGGGGACAUCCCCACCAACUGCCCAGAGAGAACCGUGGUGGAGCACAGAACAUCCUGAGCUGGAAGGGACCCCCAAGGAUCACCAGCUCCAUGGAGAGCUUGACUUUAAUACCAAUGCUUCCACAUUUUUUAAUAUCCUCCAUCAGGGCACUCCUUUCCAAGGACAAUUACAACAAUAAUUUCUACUUGCUUAUUUAAUUGGAGCUGCUAUUUUCUAGUUUCUUCUGAAGUCCCCUAGAUCUGGUGAGAGAUGAACCGGAGAGCUGCUCCCAAUGGAUCCUGGACUCCGGGAGUGAUGGAUCUGCUGGGACAGCCCUGGGAGGGACCUGGGCAAGGACAAGAGGAAACGGCCUCAAGUUACACCAGG